This 215-nucleotide ribosomal RNA is filed under the name uncultured fungus. RNAcentral describes it as "partial small subunit ribosomal RNA". The stretch from base 87 to 215 matches the Rfam family "Eukaryotic small subunit ribosomal RNA", at positions 734 to 864 of the family's 1831-position model. Lineage: Eukaryota; Fungi. The record is from RNAcentral.
GGCUUGGUUGGGCAGUCCGCCUCACAGUGUGUACUGUCUGAUUGAGUCUUACCUCUUGGUGAGCCGGCGUGCACUUUAUUGUGUGCAUUGGGGAACCAGGACUUUUACCCUGAGAAAAUUAGAGUGUUCAAAGCAGGCCUAUGCCUGAAUACAUUAGCAUGGAAUAAUAAAAUAGGACAUGCAGUUCUAUUUUGUUGGUUUCUAGAGUUGCUGUA